CCAUACCACUCUGAACAUGCCUUGUUUUCAUCUGAUCAAGCUAAGCAGGGUCGGUCAUGGUUUGUACUUGGAUGGGAGACAGCCUGGGAAAAGGUGGUG
RNAcentral lists this ribosomal RNA (99 nucleotides) under Saimiri boliviensis boliviensis (Bolivian squirrel monkey). Lineage: Eukaryota; Metazoa; Chordata; Mammalia; Primates; Cebidae. The record is from RNAcentral.